ACUCUAGCCGUAGAUCUUGCAAUGAUUGGUAUGAGACAAAGAUUCAAACUUUUUCCUAUUCAUGUUCUUAUUGAUGGUGAUUUGUUCCCUUUUCGUUUGUUAAUUUUUGAAGCAGUUGGAAAAACAAUUGGAGUAUGAGUGUGUAUUCUCGUCCCAAUUUCUCUUCUAUGCAAGUCAUCAUAUAUACAAUAGAUUUAGUUUUCUUCUCAGGUUCACUUCGUGUAAAGAAUCAGUACACAAAGGACUUACCUUUAUGGUUAUCUUUUGAAAAGCCAUCUACCUCUGAAAUUGAAUUAGAUGAAGAUGGUGUUUGGAACAUUGCUGAGGAAAAGGAUAAGAGCUUCAUUGCUAACUGUUUAUGCUUUUGAUAUCUCAUUGUUCAUAAGGUUGACAUUUUGUUUGGCAUAUAUGUUUUGUCACACAAACACAAAUCACCACCAAAUAAUUGUCCAUUGUACAGAUCCACGCACGUCUAUCUAUCCAUAUGUAUAUUUUAUCCAUAUGCAUAUGUUCAUGCAUAUCUGUCCACAAAUAACCGUUCAUGAUUACCCGUCCACACUCAUACGCAUGUACUCCUACAUGUUUAUAUGUCUACAUGUAGCCGUCCACGCUUACCUUCUCAGUUCUCUCUAUAAAUAUUUUUCAAAUAUGAACUAUUUAUAAACUAAAUAUAUAUGUUACCAAAUAAUUCUUUUAACCAAACAAAAAAAAACUAAUAAAUGAAAAUAAAAGUUUUUUUAACAUUUUUUCAUCCAUUUAUAUGUCCACAUCUUUUCUAUUAACUUAUUUUUCUUCUAUGUCCACACUUCUCGUGUCCAUGUAUUGUUUUUCUAUGUCCAUAAUUUUCUGUCCACAUUAAAAUAUAUAAAAAAUAUAUAUGAAAAUAGAUGGUAAAAUGUAGAGAAAAAAAAUUACAAUUUAUAGUAGUAAUUUUUUUUGCUUUAUAUGUCUUAGACUUUGAAAAAAAACAAAUAAACAUAAAAUGGAAUGAAAAAUAAUAACUGUUAACUUAUUUUCUUCUAUGUCCACAAUUUUCUGUCCACACUUAUCGUAUCCAUGUUUUUUUUUCUAUGUCCACAAUUGUCUGUCCACAUUUCUCGUGUCCACGUAUUUUUAUAUAAUUGUUAAAAUAUAUAAAAAAAUAUAUAUGAAAAUGGAUUUUAAAAUGUAGAGAAAAAGAAAUUACAAUUUAUAGUAGUAAUUAUUUUUGCUUUAUAUGUCUUAAACUUUGGAGAAAAAAAACAAAUAAACAUAAAAUGGAGUAAAAAAUAAUAAUUGUUAACGUAUUUUUAUUCUAUGUCCACAAUUUUCUGUCCACACUUAUCGUGUACAUGUAUUUUUUUUCUAUGUCCACAAUUGUCUGUCCACAUUUCUCGUGUCCACGUAUUUUUAUAUAAUUAUUAAAAACUAUAAAAAAUGUAUAUGAAAAUGGAUGUUAAAAUGUAGAGAAAAAGAAAUUACAAUUUAUAGUAUUAAUUAUUUUUGCUUUAUAUGUCUUAAACUUUGG
Long non-coding RNA from Brassica napus (rape), 1507 nucleotides. RefSeq lists it as uncharacterized. The transcript is spliced from 2 exons. Lineage: Eukaryota; Viridiplantae; Streptophyta; Magnoliopsida; Brassicales; Brassicaceae. The record is from RefSeq and is a predicted model, not a curated record.